This 279-nucleotide ribosomal RNA is filed under the name uncultured bacterium. Its description in RNAcentral is "partial 16S ribosomal RNA". It matches the Rfam family "Bacterial small subunit ribosomal RNA", at positions 506 to 784 of the family's 1533-position model. The record is from RNAcentral.
UGCCAGCCGCCGCGGUAAUACGGAGGGGGUUAGCGUUGUUCGGAAUUACUGGGCGUAAAGCGCACGUAGGCGGAUUAGUAAGUUAGGGGUGAAAUCCCGGGGCUCAACCCCGGAACUGCCUCUAAUACUGUUUAUCUAGAGUCCGAGAGAGGUUAGUGGAAUUCCCAGUGUAGAGGUGAAAUUCGUAGAUAUUGGGAAGAACACCAGUGGCGAAGGCGGCUUACUGGCUUGAUAUUGACGCUGAGGUGCGAAAGCGUGGGGAGCAAACAGGAUUAGAUA